AACGUCGGUCUGAAAAUGAGAUUUUGCCCACCUCCAUUGUUACGGGCUGAAUGCCUGCAGCCGCUCUGGCUCUGCCGAGGCGAUUAGUGGCCAGUGGACGUGUUUCUAUUUGAGGAAAUCAAGGCCGCCUGCUCUGUGCUCCUCAUGGUGUAGCACCACGUAGCCUCUGCUGAACGAGCAAAAUGAGGCCAUGUUACACAUCCGAGUCCCCUCGGCUCCGGCGGCUACGUGCACGGGGACCCGAGUGUUGAUGCUUCAGAAAGCAAAGGACCCAACACCAGCAUCAGGGAGUGCAGUCAUGGCCACUGAAGCGUGCUGUGUUCAUCCCCUCAUCGUCUGGCACUUUUUCCCUCCACCGUUCUAGAGGAAACAGAAUAAAGAAGGGAAAAGCUUACAUGCUCUAGGAGCUGCUAAUCUCUCAGACUACGGCCCUGAUCAGCUCCCACCGCAGCAGGAAAUCUGGAUCCAGAGGUA
This 474-nucleotide long non-coding RNA is filed under the name Sinocyclocheilus grahami. Its description in RNAcentral is "lncRNA (ENSSGRG00000033280.1)". The record is from RNAcentral. Lineage: Eukaryota; Metazoa; Chordata; Actinopteri; Cypriniformes; Cyprinidae.